UCCCUGGUAGCUCAGUGGCAAAGAACCUGCCUGCCAAGCAGGAGACUCAGGUUCGAUCUCUGGGUUGGGAA
Transfer RNA from Ovis aries (sheep), 71 nucleotides. It matches the Rfam family "tRNA". From Rfam's summary of the family: Transfer RNA (tRNA) molecules are approximately 80 nucleotides in length. The record is from Rfam. NCBI's taxonomy places the organism in Eukaryota, Metazoa, Chordata, Mammalia, Artiodactyla, Bovidae.